UGCAACUCGCCUGCAUGAAGUUGGAAUUGCUAGUAAUCGCGAAUCAGAAUGUCGCGGUGAAUACGUUCCCGGGCCUUGUACACACCGCCCGUCACACCAUGAGAGCCGAUAACACCCGAAGCCUGUGAGCUAACCGUAAGGGGGCAGCAGUCGAAGGUGGGGUUGGUGAUUGGGGUGAAGUCGUAACAAGGUAGC
Molecule: ribosomal RNA, 195 nt
Filed under: uncultured bacterium
Lineage: Bacteria
Description: partial 16S ribosomal RNA
Rfam family: Bacterial small subunit ribosomal RNA
Source: RNAcentral